UACAGAGGGGGCAAGCGUUGUUCGGAAUUACUGGGCGUAAAGGGCGCGUAGGCGGCCUGCUAAGUCGAACGUGAAAUCCCCGGGCUCAACCCGGGAACUGCGUCCGAUACUGGCAGGCUUGAAUCCGGGAGAGGGAUGCGGAAUUCCAGGUGUAGCGGUGAAAUGCGUAGAUAUCUGGAGGAACACCGGUGGCGAAGGCGGCAUCCUGGACCGACACUGACACUGAGGAGCGAAAGCCAGGGGAGCAAACGGG
This 253-nucleotide ribosomal RNA is filed under the name uncultured bacterium. RNAcentral's name for it is "partial 16S ribosomal RNA". It matches the Rfam family "Bacterial small subunit ribosomal RNA", at positions 524 to 776 of the family's 1533-position model. The record is from RNAcentral.